UGUUCACCACGCUUGCCAUGGCUCCAGCUACGACUCCUAGUGUCGCGGCCCAGGGACCGUGAGAAGAUCCCACGAACGCAGUUCCACAAGCCGCUAAGCCUGUCAAUAAGGGACCAGAAAUGGCGAGCAUCCUGUUAACUUUCAAGGCUAUUUUGCCCAGCCUCAAAUAGUCUUCAGUGUCCUUUCUCUUCAAAACCCCAACUACUUCUCUCAUUUCUUCCUCCAACUCCACACUCCAACCAUUUCCAUCUGUUCUCCCACUCUGCCUGUCCUGCCUUUGCCUGUGCUCCGGCCACCAUACAGCAGGCUCCACAGUUUUGGGGAAUUUAUCGAGCAUCGCUCCUAGUAAAGGAAGCGGGAAGGCCUUGUCCAGUGACAAAACUUUCUCCAUAACUUCCUCAACAUCGGUACUAGUAGGAGUGCCACAAGAGAGUGUUCUUUGAAUCUGGCCAUGAAGCUGCUUAAACAACCUCGCGGCAUUGCGCUGUUCUUCGACGAGUUGAGAUGGCUGGAUCUUAUUCAUCACCACCAGCAUCCCAGUGGCUGCCAAAUACAUCAGAGUGGAAGAGAGCUUGAGAGCUACAAGGGGUCCUCCUACACUUGUAGCAGCAAUUCCAGCCAUGGUUGCAGCAGUGAGUGUGAUUGCAUUAAUGGAUGUCAAAAGAAGAUGGUUCCAAUUAUCACGCUGCUCACCGAUAUUCUUGUGCAUCUCCACUCUAUCUGCAACAGCCUCCAUGAUUGCAUGGAGUUUAGCAAUCACCAAAGGAUCAGAAACAUUGCUCACAGAAGGGAAAGUACCAUUAGUACUCAGCUCGUAUUUCUUCUCCAAAUUGCUGGUGGUUGCAGCUGUGAGACCAACCCCCAUGUCCAGUACUUCCUGUAGUACCAAAUUUCUAGCGGGGAGGUUCAAAGAUAGGCGGCCGGGCUGGAGUUUAGGCAUAUUGAUAGUAGCUCUUACCAUUCCUCUCCGGCAACGAGACGAGGAAUAAGCCACUGACGUAAUAACAGCCGAUGAAAAUUGAAGACUCACCAUGUCCACUCCUUGUACGAUCUGUAUGAGUUUCUUCUUGUUGCUAAGAUUGGUUGAUUCUAAUGGGUAUGUAGUGAAUGGCUUAGGCUUGUAGUGAAAUGUGGUGGCAAUGCAACCUGGAUUAUAUAUAGGGAAUGGGAGUGGACCAAGUACGCUAUUCAACGUUUGAAUGGUCUCAUGGGUCUUGGCUUAGACCUUUUCUUGUCUUUGGUUCAUUGGUGUUUCACCUCUCAAUUACGCUGCUCGUCAGCUUGGGCAUUGAGGCAGUACUUCAUUGACUUUCAACCUGCAAAAACCAGUACAACCUUGAAAUAAUAAAAUCAACCUUUUGCUUCUCCAAUAUUUCUGGGUCUGAAUUCUGUAGCCAUAUAUCGUUGAUCAGCAGUGACGUAACUAAAACAUGGGAUUUGUUCAAAGAUUACAAGUAUUUUGAGCAUUAUCACCAUUUUAUGAAAUUUCCAGACGUCUUUCUUUCCAAUUAACAUACCGUAUUCCAAUGAGAGAGUAGGCUUUCUUUUUGUCAAUUUUUUUUAAAAAAAAUUUAUGACUAAAUCACAAAUUCAAAAUAAUUUAUUAGUAAGGUCAAUUAUUAUUCAAAAAUAAUAAUGAGAAAUAAAGAGAUAAGUUUAGUCUUGAUAUUUUUUUUUCUUAAAAGCUUUAUAGUUUUUUUUUAUUAUCUAUACGUAUAUAUUUGAUUUUCUUCCUAUUUCUAUGACAAAUGAAAUAGAUAUUUUGAGUUUUCUAUAUUUUAUUUUAUUUUUUCCUUUUUUAUGAUCCUAACACAAGGUAAUUAAUUAUCAGAAAAAAAUCCCUCAAUUAUUAUAGGUAUUAUAUUAUAAUAAAAUGAUUGGUCUCAUUAAUGUUUAUAAUGUAAUUAAGAUAAUUGAUAAUAUAUAGAAGAAAAUGGAGAAGUUGUUGUUCUCAAUGAUAGUUUAUUUAAUAAAAGAAAACAUUUUAAAUAUUUUUCUAACUUAGAAAACAAGUUUACAAAACUUGUACAAAUUCAAAAUUUAAAAAAAAUAAUUCUGAAAAUAAAACAUUUUUUCUUUAAAAAAAAAAAAUUGACAAGUUUUCAAUUUUUUUAAAAGAAUAUUUUGAGUAAGAAAAAUGCUUUGGGACUUUUUCAUGGUACAUAAAAUAUAUAAAUACUUCUUAAGAAUAAACCACCAAAACUAUUUUUUAUAUUAAAUUUCUAAUCAAAAUUUUGUUAAUUUUGUUAAUUUUUCUUUUAAAAACGAUUAAGAAUUACUCUUAAUAUCUGUUCUAAAACUGUCGGCCCUUUGUAUUUGACUGGUCGCUGGACCAUGGAGCGGCGGUUAGAAUUUGACAGUUUGGCGGCAUCCUUUAGCAAAGAUGAGGUCAUGGGAAUAGGAGGACAGGCGCCAGUGGGCGCUGGCCCUAGUUUAUUUGGUCAAAAAGUGCUACUGUUAUAAUCCAACAUUCAGCCCUCCAUGGAAAUUGUCUUGAGACCUAAAUGUUAUGGCUUAAAGCAAGCACUAAAUGCAUCGUAUGAUCAAAUUAAUGGAUACGUCAAGGAACAAAGUGAAAAUCUAUGUUGUAUGUUAAGACAGGAGGUAUGAAUGAAAUACUUAGUAUUUGCCUUUAAGUUUAUGAUUUGAUUUAUACUAAUAAAUGUAUUAUUUUAAUGAAAGGAUUUUAGAAAGAUGAUGAUGAUUAAUUUGAGAUGAUUGAUUUAACUUGACAAGUUAUUUUCUUACUUGAAGAGUUGUUUUCUUAUGUUGGAAGUCAUCUAAUGGGAUGCAAAAAAAAAUUUAUUUUUCAAGAGAAGCAUGAAAAUAAUCUUCAUAAGAAAUUUGAACUGAAUAAUUAAAAUCCAAUGAAAACUCAUUUGAAUGUCAAUAAAAAAAUUGGUUUAAAUGAUAGGGAAGAAACGAUUGAUAUGCAACAAAUCUCACCAACAAUAGGUUAGAUAUUAUGUAAACAACAAAUCUCUUAUGAAGGCUUAUGCAAAGUUCAACUUAGCCUUUCUUUGGUGCGAUCAUCUCGCUUGUAGAUUUAGAAAUAUUUCCCUCAAAUAUGGGAAGAAAAAUGUGAAAAUAUUUCAAUUAAAAAGUAAAGAGUACGUGGGGGAGGAGGAGGGAAAACAGGGAAACUAGUAUUAUACCAGGCACAUGCAAUGAUGCUGUGGAAGAUGACACGGAACUGGCUCUCUAUUCCUAUGUAUUGUUUGCAAGAUUUCAUAUAAUAUUGAAGUUAUACAAGGAUCAAGGUGAGGGUUGCCUAACUAUAUUUCCUUGAAAACUUGAAGAUAUGAUCAUGGACAUUACCCGGCCCAUAGUAGACCAUGAAUACAAAGUUGUUCCAAGGUGGAGAUGUCAAUUAUUCGAUCAUGACCACCUUAAAUAAAUAAUUUAAUUCGAAAAUUAAUUAGAAUAAAACAACACGUUUGACAUAAAUCAGUACCCAUAGUAGACCCUAGGAUUUCCGGAAAUUUAAGGUUCACAUUUAACCCUAGAAGUCAACAUGAGUGUAAAAGUACUCCAUGAAAUCUAUAUAAAAACUAGCUAGAACAUUAUUUCUAAAUCUUGGAGUCUAUUAAUUAAUUUUUCCUUCUUGUUGGAUUCUAAUUCUCAGCAAUCAAAGUUCGUUAAAAUUAAAUGGAGUGACAACUAUCUAGUGUAAAGAAAGAAUCAUUUGGUGGCAAACCCACCAUUUACUUUGGCUUAUGAUAGAAGUCAGAACCUCCUCAGACUCAAAAGUACCUGCCUUAUUUCAAUAGAGUCCAAACGAAGGAAUGAUAAUUUUGACCUUUUCCAUGUAUAGUUUACAUUGUUUUUCCUCCUCCAAUGGCCUCUAUAUAUAGUAUAUAUGGACUCGACUAACCCACCAAUCCCAUAAGAAAAUGAAACUUUUCUGUCUCAGAAGCUGCAUUUUCUUAGUUGCCAUUUGGAUUUUCAUGCUUUCUUCACUAGAAAAAAAAAAAACUAAAGAAACUUUAGAUGAUAAGGAAAAAGUAUCAAGUAUUACAUUGUUUAUUAUUCAUGGACUUUCACUCCAAAUUGACCCAGAAAUACAUCGGUUUUAGCUGAAAGCAUAUAAAACUUAUUAAUUUUCAGUUUUGAUGAGCAGAUGUGUUCAAAUUGCUGUAUAGAAAACCGACUAAUUCAAUUUCCAUGGAAUAUUCAGACCUUUUAGCAGUCUGAUUUCAAUUGAAUGAAUGAAUAAAUGAAUUACUAGAUUGUACAGCUCUAUUGUGUUUAUAGACAAGGUUAGCUUACAAUGAUAUACAAGAUUUAGUGUAUUAUCAACAAAACUGAGGAUGAACCACCACGAUAUUAGAAGAGCUUGCUUGCGAACUCUUCAAUGGCCUCUCCUUUUUGGGAAGAAGAAUAAGAGGAUGCUGCCAGAUCCUUGAGCCCGGACAAGCUUCUUCCUAGCUGUAGAGCCACCUUCAUUUCAAACAAUUCCCCAUUCUCUCUUCUCCCCACAUCUCUUUCAUUCAGAUUUGACUCUAUGCUCUCUUCCAUCAUCCGGAAGAAGCCUGCGUUGCCUCUAUACAUCUCAAACACCAUGCCCACUUGCCCGCCAUGCUCCAUUGUGUUCACCACGCUUGCCAUGGCUCCAGCUACGACUCCUAGUGUCGCGGCCCAGGGACCGUGAGAAGAUCCCACGAACGCAGUUCCACAAGCCGCUAAGCCUGUCAAUAAGGGGCCAGAAAUGGCGAGUAUCUUGUUAACUUUCAAGGCUAUUUUGCCCAGCCUCAAAUAGUCUUCAGUGUCCUUCCUCUUCAAAACCCCAACAACUUCUCUCAUUUCUUCCUCCAACUCCACACUCCAACCAUUUCCAUCUGUUCU
Molecule: long non-coding RNA, 4845 nt
Filed under: Vitis vinifera (wine grape)
Lineage: Eukaryota; Viridiplantae; Streptophyta; Magnoliopsida; Vitales; Vitaceae
Description: long non-coding RNA (VVIN_LNC003088)
Source: RNAcentral